AGGACGAACGCUGGCGGCGUGCUUAACGACAUGCAAGUCGAGCGGAAAGGCCCUUCGGGGUACUCGAGCGGCGAACGGGUGAGUAACACGUGAGUAAUCUGCCCCUAGCUCUGGGAUAGCUCCGGGAAACCGGGAUUAAUACCGGAUACGACCACUUUAGACAUCUGUUGUGGUGGAAAGAAUUUUGGCUAGGGAUGAGCUCGCGGCCUAUCAGCUUGUUGGUGGGGUAAUGGCCUACCAAGGCGACGACGGGUAGCCGGCCUGAGAGGGCGACCGGCCACACUGGGACUGAGACACGGCCCAGACUCCUACGGGAGGCAGCAGUGGGGAAUAUUGCGCAAUGGGCGAAAGCCUGACGCAGCGACGCCGCGUGGGGGAUGAAGGCCUUCGGUUGGUAAACCCCUUUCAGCAGGACGAAGCGAAAGUGACGGUACCUGCAGAAGAAGCGCCGGCUAACUACGUGCCAGCAGCCGC
This 474-nucleotide ribosomal RNA is filed under the name uncultured bacterium. RNAcentral describes it as "SSU rRNA". It matches the Rfam family "Bacterial small subunit ribosomal RNA", at positions 26 to 518 of the family's 1533-position model. The record is from RNAcentral.